Molecule: ribosomal RNA, 255 nt
Filed under: uncultured bacterium
Lineage: Bacteria
Description: partial 16S ribosomal RNA
Rfam family: Bacterial small subunit ribosomal RNA
Source: RNAcentral
AUACGAAGGGGGCUAGCGUUGCUCGGAAUGACUGGGCGUAAAGGGCGUGUAGGCGGUUUGUACAGUCAGAUGUGAAAUACCCCGGGCCGUUAACCUACGGGAGGCUGCAUUUGUAGACGUGCUAGACUAGAGUGUGAGAGAGGGUUGUGGAAUUCCCAGUGUAGAGGUGAAAUUCGUAGAUAUUGGGAAGAACACCGGUGGCGAAGGCGGCAACCUGGCUCAUUACUGACGCUGAGGCGCGAAAGCGUGGGGAGC